ACAUCCAAAACAUCCAUCAUACAAAAAUUCAGAAGCAUUAGAGGUCAUUUAAUAUGGAAAUUAAAUUGCACCAGUAAGACAACCAAAUGUGUGACACAAGUUGUCACACCAUGCAAACAUAUCCAUAAAACAGAAAUGGUAAAUGAGAAAAAGUCAAACCUAAACCAAAACAUCCAGCAAUAUGUCUAGAAUCAUCAUGCA
Molecule: long non-coding RNA, 201 nt
Filed under: Lathyrus oleraceus (garden pea)
Lineage: Eukaryota; Viridiplantae; Streptophyta; Magnoliopsida; Fabales; Fabaceae
Description: Pisum sativum (pea) long non-coding RNA (PSAT_LNC038994)
Source: RNAcentral